This 200-nucleotide unclassified non-coding RNA is filed under the name Melanconiella sp. RNAcentral describes it as "partial internal transcribed spacer 2". The record is from RNAcentral. Lineage: Eukaryota; Fungi; Ascomycota; Sordariomycetes; Diaporthales; Melanconiellaceae.
UUAAGUUCAGCGGGUAUUCCUACCUGAUCCGAGGUCAACUUUCAGAGGUGCACGAUGGCAGGUUUUACGGCUGGGCACCGCUAAUCCAACCUAAGCGAGAAAAAAUUACUACGCUCGGAGUCUUAGCGAGCACGCCACUGAAUUUCAGGGCUAGCCCUUCUACAGGCUACGCCCCAACACCAAGCGGUAAAGCUUGAGGG